This 112-nucleotide non-coding RNA is filed under the name Streptomycetaceae bacterium MP113-05. Its description in RNAcentral is "Glycine riboswitch aptamer". It matches the Rfam family "Glycine riboswitch aptamer". From Rfam's summary of the family: This family represents the bacterial glycine riboswitch. Glycine riboswitches usually consist of two metabolite-binding aptamers domains with similar structures in tandem. The record is from Rfam by way of RNAcentral. Lineage: Bacteria; Bacillati; Actinomycetota; Actinomycetes; Kitasatosporales; Streptomycetaceae. RNAcentral also lists the same sequence under 1 other name.
UGAAUCCGCGCGGGAGAGUUCCCGUCCGAGGCCCACCGGGUCCACGGACCGGGACGCCGAAGGAGCAAGAUCCUCCCUUUAAUCUCUCAGGCCCCGAUACCGCGCAGGACGA